This 914-nucleotide ribosomal RNA is filed under the name uncultured archaeon. RNAcentral describes it as "bacterial SSU rRNA". It matches the Rfam family "Archaeal small subunit ribosomal RNA", at positions 1 to 922 of the family's 1478-position model. The record is from RNAcentral.
UUCCGGUUGAUCCCGCCGGACCUGACUGCUAUCGGAUUGAUACUAAGCCAUGCGAGUCAUUGUAGCAAUACAAGGCAGACGGCUCAGUAACGCGUAGUCAACCUAACCUAUGGACGGGAAUAACCUCGGGAAACUGAGAAUAAUGCCCGAUAGAACACUAUGCCUGGAAUGGUUUGUGUUCCAAAUGAUUUAUCGCCGUAGGAUGGGACUGCGGCUUAUCAGUUUGUUGGUGAGGUAAUGGCCCACCAAGACUAUUACAGGUACGGGCUCUGAGAGGAGUGGCCCGGAGAUGGGUACUGAGACACGGACCCAGGCCCUAUGGGGCGCAGCAGGCGAGAGAACUUUGCAAUGUGCGAAAGCACGACAAGGUUAAUCCGAGUGGUUUCUGCUAAAGGAACCUUUUGUCGGUCCUAGAAACACCGAUGAAUAAGGGGUGGGCAAGUUCUGGUGUCAGCCGCCGCGGUAAAACCAGCACCUCAAGUGGUCAGGAUGAUUAUUGGGCCUAAAGCAUCCGUAGCCUGCUUUGUUAGUUUUCGGUUAAAUCUGUACGCUCAACGUACAGGCUGCCGGGAAUACUGCAAAGCUAGGGAGUGGGAGAGGUAGACGGUACUCGGUAGGAAGGGGUAAAAUCCUUUGAUCUAUUGAUGACCACCUGUGGCGAAGGCGGUCUACCAGAACACGUCCGACGGUGAGGGAUGAAAGCUGGGGGAGCAAACCGGAUUAGAUACCCGGGUAGUCCCAGCUGUAAACCAUGCAAACUCAGUGAUGCAUUGGCUUGUGGCCAAUGCAGUGCUGCAGGGAAGCCGUUAAGUUUGCCGCCUGGGAAGUACGUACGCAAGUAUGAAACUUAAAGGAAUUGGCGGGGGAGCACCACAAGGGGUGAAGCCUGCGGUUCAAUUGGAGUCAACGCCGGG